UUUAAAUUUUAAAUUUUUAAACUAAAUUAGUAUUAGCUAUGUUCUUGAAAAUUAAAAAUUUUGGCGGUAUUUUAAUCUUUUCAGAGGAACCUGUCCUGUAAUUGAUAGUCCACGUUUAAUUAAACUUAAUUUUUAAAUUUGUAUAUCAUCGUAAUUUGAAUAUUUUAAAAGAAUUUAAAUAUUCAAAAUUUAAAAUGUUAAAAUAAAUCAGAUCAAGAUGCAGUUUAUAAUUAAGAAGAGAUGGGUUACAUUAUUUUUAUAUUUGGAUUAUUAAUUUAAAAUUAAUAUGAAAUUGGAUUUGAAAGUAAUUUUGAAAAUAUAUUUAAAAUGAUUAAAGUUCUGAAAUAUG
This 349-nucleotide ribosomal RNA is filed under the name Australiorylon sp. NPL-2007. Its description in RNAcentral is "partial 12S ribosomal RNA". The record is from RNAcentral. Lineage: Eukaryota; Metazoa; Arthropoda; Insecta; Coleoptera; Cerylonidae.